RNAcentral lists this ribosomal RNA (207 nucleotides) under uncultured bacterium. RNAcentral's name for it is "partial 16S ribosomal RNA". It matches the Rfam family "Bacterial small subunit ribosomal RNA", at positions 568 to 774 of the family's 1533-position model. The record is from RNAcentral.
CGUGUAGGCGGCCAGGUAGGUCGGUUGUGAAAACUGGAGGCUCAACCUUCAGACGUCGACCGAAACCAUCUGGCUAGAGUCCGGAAGAGGAGAGUGGAAUUCCUGGUGUAGCGGUGAAAUGCGCAGAUAUCAGGAAGAACACCCGUGGCGAAGGCGGCUCUCUGGGACGGUACUGACGCUGAGACGCGAAAGCGUGGGGAGCGAACA